Molecule: long non-coding RNA, 228 nt
Filed under: Lathyrus oleraceus (garden pea)
Lineage: Eukaryota; Viridiplantae; Streptophyta; Magnoliopsida; Fabales; Fabaceae
Description: Pisum sativum (pea) long non-coding RNA (PSAT_LNC013774)
Source: RNAcentral
AUUUGAUUUAUUUGAUGGAUUUUAGUAGCAUAAGUUUUUGGCACAUGAGGUAGUGUUUGGAUGGUUUAAAAACUGAUUUUUGGGAAAAUUUUACAAUACGAGUCAAUCUAUGAAGGUCAUGUGUCGACCUAUGAAGGCCAUGUGUCGGCCUAUGAAGGUCAUGUUUCCACACAUGCAGUAAGCACAUCUAAUAGAACAUUACAGGCUUUAAAAAUGAAGUACAUGUGU